CUCAGGAACGAACGCUGGCGGCGUGCUUAACACAUGCAAGUCGAACGAUGAACCACUUCGGUGGGGAUUAGUGGCGAACGGGUGAGUAACACGUGGGCAAUCUGCCCUGCACUCUGGGACAAGCCCUGGAAACGGGGUCUAAUACCGGAUACAACCACUGACCGCAUGGUCGGGUGGUGGAAAGCUCCGGCGGUGCAGGAUGAGCCCGCGGCCUAUCAGCUUGUUGGUGAGGUAACGGCUCACCAAGGCGACGACGGGUAGCCGGCCUGAGAGGGCGACCGGCCACACUGGGACUGAGACACGGCCCAGACUCCUACGGGAGGCAGCAGUGGGGAAUAUUGCACAAUGGGCGAAAGCCUGAUGCAGCCGACGCCGCGUGAGGGAUGACGGCCUUCGGGUUGUAAACCUCUUUCAGCAGGGAAAGAAGCGAGAGUGACGGUACCUGCAGAAGAAGCGCCNGGCUAACUACGUGCCAGCAGCCGCGGUAAUACGUAGGGCGCAAGCGUUGUCCGGAAUUAUUGGGCGUAAAGAGCUCGUAGGCGGCUUGUCACGUCGGUUGUGAAAGCCCGGGGCUUAACCCCGGGUCUGCAGUCGAUACGGGCAGGCUAGAGUUCGGUAGGGGAGAUCGGAAUUCCUGGUGUAGCGGUGAAAUGCGCAGAUAUCAGGAGGAACACCGGUGGCGAAGGCGGAUCU
RNAcentral lists this ribosomal RNA (693 nucleotides) under bacterium EAB-4I12.01. RNAcentral describes it as "bacterial SSU rRNA". It matches the Rfam family "Bacterial small subunit ribosomal RNA", at positions 23 to 728 of the family's 1533-position model. The record is from RNAcentral.